This 222-nucleotide ribosomal RNA is filed under the name uncultured bacterium. Its description in RNAcentral is "partial 16S ribosomal RNA". It matches the Rfam family "Bacterial small subunit ribosomal RNA", at positions 524 to 740 of the family's 1533-position model. The record is from RNAcentral.
UACGUAGGGUGCAAGCGUUGUCCGGAAUUAUUGGGCGUAAAGAGCUCGUAGGCGGUCUGUCGCGUCUGCUGUGAAAACUCAGGGCUUAACCCUGAGCUUGCAGUGGGUACGGGCAGACUAGAGUGCGGUAGGGGAGACUGGAAUUCCUGGUGUAGCGGUGAAAUGCGCAGAUAUCAGGGAGGGAACACCCGGGUGGCGAAAGGCGGGUCUCUGGGCCGUAAC